This 497-nucleotide ribosomal RNA is filed under the name uncultured bacterium. Its description in RNAcentral is "partial 16S ribosomal RNA". It matches the Rfam family "Bacterial small subunit ribosomal RNA", at positions 28 to 507 of the family's 1533-position model. The record is from RNAcentral.
GAUGAACGCUGGCGGCGUGCCUAAUACAUGCAAGUCGAGCGAAAAGACGAGGAGCUUGCUCCACUGACGUUAGCGGCGGACGGGUGAGUAACACGUGGAUAACCUACCUAUAAGACUGGGAUCACUUCGGGAAACCGGAGCUAAUACCGGAUAAUAUAUUGAACCGCAUGGUUCAAUAGUGAAAGACGGUUUUGCUGUUACUUAUAGAUUGAUCCAGGCCGCAUUAGCUAAUUGGUAAGGUAACGGUGUACCAAGGCCACGCUGCGUAGCCGACCGGAAAGGGUGAUGGGCGACUCUGGGACUGAAAUACGGUCCAGACUCCGACGAGAGGCAGCAGGAGGGAAGCUGCCGCAAUGGGCGAAAGCCGGGCGGAAGAAUGCCGCGGCAGUGAUGAGGGUCUUCGGAUCGUAUACCGCUGGUAUUAGGGAAGAACAAAUGUGUAAGUAACUAGGCACGUCUUGACGGUACCUAAACAGAAAGCCACGGCUAACUACGUG